This 665-nucleotide ribosomal RNA is filed under the name uncultured bacterium. Its description in RNAcentral is "bacterial SSU rRNA". It matches the Rfam family "Bacterial small subunit ribosomal RNA", at positions 93 to 740 of the family's 1533-position model. The record is from RNAcentral.
AAGUGGCGAACGGGUGAGUAAUGCAUGGGUGACCUGUCCUCAAGAUGGGAAUAACCUCGCGAAAGCGGGGCUAAUACCCAAUGCCAUCUCGGUCCUACGGGAUCGGGAUGAAAGGUAGCUGUUACAGGCUGUCACUUGAGGAAGGGCUCAUGUCCCAUCAGCUAGUUGGUAGGGUAACGGCCUACCAAGGCUAUGACGGGUAGCUGGUCUGAGAGGACGACCAGCCACACUGGCACUGAGACACGGGCCAGACUCCUACGGGAGGCAGCAGUGAGGAAUCUUGCGCAAUGGACGAAAGUCUGACGCAGCGACGCCGCGUGGGGGAUGAAGGCCUUCGGGUCGUAAACCCCUUUUGGUGGGAAAGAAACACCCCGAUGUUAAUAGCGUUGGGGUUUGACGGUACCCACAGAAAAAGCCACGGCUAACUCUGUGCCAGCAGCCGCGGUAAGACAGAGGUGGCAAGCGUUGUCCGGAAUUACUGGGCGUAAAGCGCGCGUAGGCGGCUAGAUAAGUCCGGUGUGAAAUCCCACGGCUUAACCGGGGAACGGCAUCGGGGACUGUUUAGCUUGAGGACGGGAGAGGAGAGCGGAAUUCCCGGUGUAGCGGUGAAAUGCGUAGAGAUCGGGAGGAAGGCCGGUGGCGAAGGCGGCUCUCUAGAACGUCCC